CGGGGCGUGGCGCAGCCCGGUAGCGCGCUGCAAUGGGGUUGCAGAGGUCCCCGGUUCGAAUCCGGGCGCCCCGA
RNAcentral lists this transfer RNA (74 nucleotides) under Gemmatimonadales bacterium. RNAcentral's name for it is "tRNA-Pro". It matches the Rfam family "tRNA". Rfam says of the family: Transfer RNA (tRNA) molecules are approximately 80 nucleotides in length. Their secondary structure includes four short double-helical elements and three loops (D, anti-codon, and T loops). Lineage: Bacteria; Pseudomonadati; Gemmatimonadota; Gemmatimonadia; Gemmatimonadales. The record is from RNAcentral.